GGUUGUAGCUCAGUGAUAAAGCACUCGCCUAGCAUGUGUGAGGCACUGGGUUCAAUUCUCGGCACCA
This 67-nucleotide transfer RNA is filed under the name Marmota monax (woodchuck). RNAcentral's name for it is "tRNA.Ala". Lineage: Eukaryota; Metazoa; Chordata; Mammalia; Rodentia; Sciuridae. The record is from RNAcentral.